AUGAUUCAUUCAAAGGAGUCUGUAACAAUGCUAUAUGAUUGUUAUUAUUUUCACUUGAAUAUCCCGACUCUGAAAUUAAUAUUAAUUAAUAAAUGUAACAAGUGUGCCAGCAGUUUACGUUUAUUAAAGUUUAACCUUUUCCACCUGAAAAUUUGUAAUGAUUCAUUUCAAAGGAGUCUGCUGCAAUGGUAUACGAUUAUUAUUUAUUCACUUGAAUAUCCUGAUUCUGAAUUUUUAUAUUUAUUUAGUAAAUGUAACCACAGAGUAGUGCCUACUGACUACUAUAACCCUUUUCCAAUACUUUCCAAUGUUUGUUAA
RNAcentral lists this ribosomal RNA (318 nucleotides) under Triticum aestivum (bread wheat). RNAcentral's name for it is "partial small subunit ribosomal RNA". Lineage: Eukaryota; Viridiplantae; Streptophyta; Magnoliopsida; Poales; Poaceae. The record is from RNAcentral.